This 218-nucleotide ribosomal RNA is filed under the name Heteranthus verruculatus. RNAcentral's name for it is "partial large subunit ribosomal RNA". It matches the Rfam family "Eukaryotic large subunit ribosomal RNA", at positions 30 to 241 of the family's 3401-position model. Lineage: Eukaryota; Metazoa; Cnidaria; Anthozoa; Actiniaria; Phymanthidae. The record is from RNAcentral.
GAAUUCAAGCAUAUCAAUAAGCGGAGGAAAAGAAACUAACAAGGAUUCCCCUAGUAAUGGCGAAUGAAGCGGGAACAGCUCAAAUUUGAAAUCUCCGUCGCCUGCGACGGCGAAUUGUAGUUUCGAGAAGCACUUUCUAGGCGGACCCGGGGCCGUCCAAGUUGCUUGGAACAGCACGUCAUAGAGGGUGACAACCCCGUCUGGGCGGAACCGGCCGC